Molecule: non-coding RNA, 423 nt
Organism: Cricetulus griseus (Chinese hamster)
Lineage: Eukaryota; Metazoa; Chordata; Mammalia; Rodentia; Cricetidae
Source: the annotation of a RefSeq genome assembly
AUGUUCCUUGAAGGUCUAUUAACAAUCCUCUGGGUGCAAAUAGCAUUGGUGAAUGGUCAAGUUCUGAGUCAGAGCGUUCAGUAUGUAUCCAUCCCAGAAGGAAAGGAUGCCUCCAUGAGCUGCAACUCCUCAAGUACACUUAACAACGUUCAGUGGUACAAGCAGGACCCUGAAGGAGGCCUGGUCCUCUUGGUGGCCGUAUAUAAGAGUGGAGAGUUGGUCAGAAAUGGCAAAGUGACUGCUGAGUUUGGUGGAACAAGGAAGGACAGUGUCUUGACUAUCUCAGCCUCGGAACCUGCUGACUCAAGUACCUACUUCUGUGCAGGACAGCACAGUGCGCCCCAGACAUCUGCAGCCUGUAUCAAAUCUGCAGCUGCAACUCCAGUCAUGAUGCUGCCUAUAGCUCCAGCUCCUUCAGUGUGA